CCUACGGGAGGCAGCAGUGAGGAAUAUUGGUCAAUGGCCGGAAGGCUGAACCAGCCAUGCCGCGUGAAGGGCAGGGACCUAUGGGCGUUAAACUUCUUUUGUGCGGGAGCAAUAAUGGUCACGUGUGGCCAGACGAGAGUACCGUACGAAUAAGCAUCGGCUAACUCCGUGCCAGCAGGCGCGGUAAUACGGGGGAUGCAAGCGUUAUCCGGAUUUAUUGGGUUUAAAGGGUGCGUAGGCUGUGAGGUAAGGCAGCGGUGAAAUGCCCCCGCUCAACGGGGUGAAGUGCCAUUGAUACUGCCUUGCUGGAGUGCGGAUGCCGUGGGAGGAAUGUGUGGUGUAGCGGUGAAAUGCAUAGAUAUCACGCAGAACACCGAUUGCGAAGGCAUCUCACGAAUCCGCGAUUGACGCUGAUGCACGAAAGCGUGGGUAUCAAACAGGAUUAGAUACCCCAGUAGUC
This 460-nucleotide ribosomal RNA is filed under the name uncultured bacterium. RNAcentral's name for it is "partial 16S ribosomal RNA". It matches the Rfam family "Bacterial small subunit ribosomal RNA", at positions 338 to 795 of the family's 1533-position model. The record is from RNAcentral.